This 253-nucleotide ribosomal RNA is filed under the name uncultured bacterium. RNAcentral's name for it is "partial 16S ribosomal RNA". It matches the Rfam family "Bacterial small subunit ribosomal RNA", at positions 524 to 776 of the family's 1533-position model. The record is from RNAcentral.
UACGUAGGGGGCUAGCGUUGUCCGGAUUUAUUGGGCGUAAAGAGCGUGUAGGCGGCCAGGUAGGUCUGCUGUGAAAACUCGAGGCUUAACCUCGAGAUGUCGGCGGAAACCAUCUGGCUAGAGUCCGGAAGAGGAGAGUGGAAUUCCAGGUGUAGCGGUGAAAUGCGUAGAUAUUCGGAGGAACACCAGUGGCGAAGGCGGCUCACUGGCUCGAUACUGACGCUGAGGUGCGAAAGCGUGGGGAGCAAACAGG